RNAcentral lists this ribosomal RNA (301 nucleotides) under uncultured bacterium. RNAcentral's name for it is "partial 16S ribosomal RNA". It matches the Rfam family "Bacterial small subunit ribosomal RNA", at positions 509 to 807 of the family's 1533-position model. The record is from RNAcentral.
CAGUAGCCGCGGGAAAACGGAGGGUGCAAGCGUUAAUCGGAAUUACUGGGCGUAAAGCGUGCGUAGGCGGUUCGUUAAGUCUGUUGUGAAAGCCCCGGGCUCAACCUGGGAAUGGCAAUGGAUACUGGCGAGCUAGAGUGUGUCAGAGGAUGGUGGAAUUCCCGGUGUAGCGGUGAAAUGCGUAGAGAUCGGGAGGAACACCAGUGGCGAAGGCGGCCAUUUGGGACAACACUGACGCUGAGGCACGAAAGCGUGGGGAGCAAACAGGAUUAGAUACCCCCGUAGUCCCUGUCUCUUAUAC